ACGCGAAGAACCUUACCUGGGUUUGACAUGCACGUGAAACCCCUGUGAAAGCAGGGGCCUCCUUCGGGACACGUGCACAGGUGCUGCAUGGCUGUCGUCAGCUCGUGUCGUGAGAUGUUGGGUUAAGUCCCGCAACGAGCGCAACCCUUGCCCCGUGUUACUAACAGGUCAAGCUGAGGACUCUCGGGGGACUGCCGGCGUCAAGCCGGAGGAAGGUGGGGACGACGUCAAGUCAUCAUGGCCCUUACGCCCAGGGCUACACACGUGCUACAAUGGCCAGGACAGAGGGCUGCGAGACCGCAAGGUGGAGCGAAUCCCAGAAACCUGGCCCAAGUUCGGAUUGCGGGCUGCAACUCGCCCGCAUGAAGCCGGAAUCGCUAGUAAUCGC
RNAcentral lists this ribosomal RNA (388 nucleotides) under uncultured bacterium. RNAcentral's name for it is "bacterial SSU rRNA". It matches the Rfam family "Bacterial small subunit ribosomal RNA", at positions 959 to 1345 of the family's 1533-position model. The record is from RNAcentral.